Pseudophryne corroboree (corroboree frog) is the source of this 367-nucleotide long non-coding RNA. RefSeq lists it as uncharacterized. Lineage: Eukaryota; Metazoa; Chordata; Amphibia; Anura; Myobatrachidae. The transcript has 5 exons. The record is from RefSeq and is a predicted model, not a curated record.
CAGGAGAGGAGGCAGCCACACAUAUCCAGAAUCUUUAUUUUGGGUACUAUCUAUCCCUCCGGAUAUCCUGUUUGAUGUCACUGAUUUGGCCUCGUUUUUAAAAUAUCCUAUGGUACUUUAUUAGCCCUGGAGGAUACUUUCUAUCCGGUCAUAUCCAUUGCUAGAAUUGAAUAUAUCUCAUGGUAUUUUAUUAGCCCUGGAGGAUACUUCCUAACCGUUCAUAUCCAUUGCUAGAAUUGAAUCUAUGACCUGUACCCCUGAUGAAGUUCAUAGCGGACGAAACGCUUUGGGUUUUGUGUAAAAAAAUCUUUGUAGAAAGUACCUUGUUUAUUGUACAAACGAAUAUUGUACUUAUGAAACAUUAUAU